Molecule: long non-coding RNA, 298 nt
Filed under: Zostera marina
Lineage: Eukaryota; Viridiplantae; Streptophyta; Magnoliopsida; Alismatales; Zosteraceae
Description: long non-coding RNA (ZMAR_LNC001787)
Source: RNAcentral
UGAAAGUCUGAAAUUCCAUGUCUGAUGUUAGGUCAUCACUGCUGAUCAUGAAUUACUUCCUAAAAUCUACUAGAUACGAAGCCAUCAGUGGAAUACAACGAAGAGGGUGAAUGAGGGUUUGCAUAAGCGAGAGGUAGAGAAAGAGAUACCUGAUGGCCGAUGUGGAAGAAGAACGAUUGUCGGACCUUGAAUUGGUAUGCAUCAUUGUACCUCGAAGAUCCUCAAUUCUGAUCUGAUUUUUUUUUCUGAAUUUGGGAUUUCAGGAAGGAGAACGAUGUGAUGAGAUGGAGUAGGGGAG